GUCCACGCCCUAAACGAUGAUAACUCGAUGUGUGCGAUAUACAGUACGCGUCUAAGCGAAAGCAUUAAGUUAUCCACCUGGGAAGUACGACCGCAAGGUUGAAAACUCAAAGGAAUUGACGGGGGGCCCGCACAAGCGGAGGAGCAUGUGGUUUAAUUCGAUGAUACGCGAGGAACCUUACCAGGGCUUGAAAGUUAAGGAAUGAUGUAGAAAUAUGUCAGUCAGCAAUGACCUGAAACUAGGUGCUGCAUGGCUGUCGU
RNAcentral lists this ribosomal RNA (260 nucleotides) under uncultured bacterium. Its description in RNAcentral is "partial 16S ribosomal RNA". It matches the Rfam family "Bacterial small subunit ribosomal RNA", at positions 793 to 1055 of the family's 1533-position model. The record is from RNAcentral.